ACGCGAGGAACCUUACCAGGUCUUGACAUCCCAUUGACCGCUAUGGAGACAUAGCUUUCCCUUCGGGGACAGUGGUGACAGGUGGUGCAUGGUUGUCGUCAGCUCGUGUCGUGAGAUGUUGGGUUAAGUCCCGCAACGAGCGCAACCCUUGUUCUUAGUUGCCAUCAUUUAGUUGGGCACUCUAAGGAGACUGCCGGUGACAAACCGGAGGAAGGUGGGGAUGACGUCAAAUCAUCAUGCCCCUUAUGACCUGGGCUACACACGUGCUACAAUGGACGGUACAAACGGUUGCCAACCCGCGAGGGGGAGCUAAUCCGAUAAAACCGUUCUCAGUUCGGAUUGUAGGCUGCAACUCGCCUACAUGAAGCCGGAAUCGCUAGUAAUCGCGGAUCAGCAUGCCGCGGUGAAUACGUUCCCGGGCCUUGUACACACCGCCCGU
This 439-nucleotide ribosomal RNA is filed under the name uncultured bacterium. RNAcentral's name for it is "bacterial SSU rRNA". It matches the Rfam family "Bacterial small subunit ribosomal RNA", at positions 959 to 1397 of the family's 1533-position model. The record is from RNAcentral.